This 478-nucleotide long non-coding RNA is filed under the name Chloebia gouldiae (Gouldian finch). RNAcentral describes it as "Erythrura gouldiae (Gouldian finch) lncRNA (ENSEGOG00005005912.1)". The record is from RNAcentral. Lineage: Eukaryota; Metazoa; Chordata; Aves; Passeriformes; Passeridae.
CACCGCGGUGAGGAUGGAAGAGGAAGGAGGAGCCCCCCGCCUCCCCCCGGGAGCGCACCGCCAGCGCCGGCCACCGCCGCCUUACCAAAACUUUUCUCCUUUUUCUGCAUGAGUUGAUUUACGGGCGCCUGGAGAGCUCCUUCUCAUUGAAGCACCAAAUCCCGGCAAAAGUAGCAAGUGCUUCCUCGGCUCGGGUCAAAUGAAAACUUUAAGGAACAAUGAAGGAGAGAGGUACGGCUCUGAAACGUGGGCCUGCUUGAGGAAGCCAGGGUGACAGCUCAGCCCCAGCACUUGACGACCGAGUGACAUCACUGGGAUUUUGAGUUGUGAGAACGCCGUCGUAUGCAGCAGCUGUAUCGAUUUUGGGGUCCAAUCCGACUUGUCCCGAGGGGGAACCCUAUAACUUUGAAAAGUAUCCUGACCCUCACCAUGCAUGAUUUCUCCCAUGGAUUCAGACACUUGAUGAGGAUUUGACAAG